Small nucleolar RNA from Ceratina calcarata, 102 nucleotides. The record is from RefSeq and is a predicted model, not a curated record. NCBI's taxonomy places the organism in Eukaryota, Metazoa, Arthropoda, Insecta, Hymenoptera, Apidae.
UUGUAAUGAUGUCUUGCCAUGCUAAUACCGAGAGAUCAGAAUAUUUCAUUUCUGGAUUUCGAUGAGUUAAAUCUCUCGAUUAUACUGAAUUCACUGAAAACU